CUGCUCUCUGGACACCCGCUGAGCCAAGUGGUGAAAAUGAAAGAUGAGUGAUUUUGAUGAAUGGAUUUCUGGGAAAUACAGAAAAAUGGAAGAAGGGCCUCUCCCCCUGUUGACUUUUGCUACUGCUCCCUACUACGACCAGAAACCAGGAACUAGUGGAUUACGGAAGAAAACCUAUUGUUUUGAGGCGAAGCCAUGUUAUCUGGAGAAUUUCAUCCAAAGUCUGUUCUUUUCCAUAGACCUUAAGGAUCGCCAGGGAUCCUCAAUGGUGGUUGGUGGAGAUGGGCGGUAUUUUAAUAAAUCGGCGAUAGAAACAAUAGUGCAGAUGGCAGCCGCCAAUGGGAUUGGUCGCUUGGUUAUUGGGCAGAAUGGAAUCCUCUCUACCCCUGCUGUAUCCUGCAUCAUUAGAAAGAUCAAAGCCAUUGGUGGGAUAAUUUUGACAGCCAGCCACAACCCAGGAGGGCCCAAUGGAGAUUUUGGAAUCAAAUUUAAUAUUUCCAAUGGAGGUCCCGCUCCAGAAGCAAUAACCGAUAAAAUCUUCCAAAUCAGCAAGACAAUCGAAGAAUAUGCAAUUUGCCCUGACCUGAAAGUAGACCUUGGAGUUCUGGGAAAGCAGCAGUUUGACCUGGAAAACAAGUUCAAACCAUUCACAGUGGAAAUUGUGGAUUCAGUGGAGGCUUAUGCUACAAUGCUGAGAAACAUCUUUGAUUUCAAUGCACUGAAAGAACUGCUUUCUGGUCCAAACCGACUAAAGAUCCGUAUAGAUGCCAUGCAUGGAGUUGUGGGACCAUACGUGAAGAAAAUCCUCUGCGAAGAGCUAGGCGCCCCUGCAAACUCAGCAGUUAAUUGUGUCCCUCUGGAGGACUUUGGAGGCCACCACCCUGACCCCAAUCUUACCUAUGCUGCUGACCUGGUGGAGACCAUGAAAACAGGAGAACACGACUUUGGGGCUGCCUUUGAUGGAGAUGGGGAUCGAAACAUGAUUCUUGGCAAGCAUGGUUUCUUUGUGAACCCUUCAGACUCCGUGGCUGUCAUUGCUGCCAACAUCUUCAGCAUUCCAUAUUUCCAGCAAACUGGGGUCCGAGGCUUUGCCCGCAGUAUGCCUACCAGUGGGGCCCUGGACAGGGUGGCUAAUGCUACAAAGAUCGCUUUGUAUGAAACCCCGACUGGCUGGAAGUUUUUCGGGAAUUUGAUGGAUGCAAGCAAACUGUCCCUUUGUGGGGAAGAGAGCUUCGGGACUGGUUCUGAUCACAUUCGUGAGAAAGAUGGACUCUGGGCUGUCCUCGCUUGGCUCUCCAUUCUAGCUGCCCGCAAACAGAGUGUGGAGGACAUUCUCAAAGAUCACUGGCAAAAGUAUGGCCGGAAUUUCUUCACCAGGUAUGAUUACGAGGAGGUGGAGGCUGAGGGUGCCAACAAAAUGAUGAAGGACUUGGAGGCCCUGAUAUCUGAUCGCUCCUUCGUGGGCAAACAGUUCUCAGUGGGUGACAAAGUUUACACCGUGGAGAAAAUUGAUAACUUUGAAUACAGUGAUCCAGUGGAUGGAAGCGUUUCAAGGAAUCAGGGCUUGCGGCUCAUUUUUGCGGAUGGCUCUCGCAUCAUCUUCCGACUGAGCGGCACUGGGAGUGCAGGAGCCACCAUUCGUCUGUACAUCGACAGCUAUGAGAAGGACAUCGCCAAGAUCUACCAGGACCCUCAGGUCAUGUUGGCCCCCCUUAUUUCCAUUGCUCUGAAGGUGUCCCAACUCCAAGAGAAGACAGGACGCACUGCACCCACCGUUAUCACCUAAGAAGACAGGCCAGAUGCGGGACAUCAGUAUCUUCUUACCUUUGGACUUGGACUCAAACUAGAACUACACCGUUAGCUCUCCUGGAUCUCCAGCUUGCCAAUGGGAGAUGUUGGACUUCCCAGCCUCCAUAACCAUGUUCCACAUGCAGGGUGGAGCUCAGUGCGGGACUUAAACUCACGACCCUGAGAUCAAGACCUGAGCUGAGAUCAAGAGUCAGACGCUUAAUCGACUGCACCCCCCAGGUGCCCCUCACCUUUUCUCCUUCUGUCCAAGAAUUGUGGUUUAUCUCCGAUGUCCUGAGUGUGUGAAACGUGAAUUGAAAAAAAUCUGCCAGAACUUGGACUGGGGACAUAUUUACUAAUCUUACCUUGUGUCCAGCACUGUGGCAAGCACUUUCUAUGGAUAAUUGUAUUUAAUACUAAGAACGGGCAUUAGAUUGAACCAUAUGGAAUUGUCAUUUCUUUAGGUCAAAAUGGUUAAAUGUCGACAAUUUCAUAUGCUUCUAAUCUAUACAUGGGUUAAAUCUUAUUAUUGUUAUUCUCAAUAUAUAGAUGAGAAAUCUGAGAUUUGACAGGGUAAAUAACUUAAUCAUAAUAGGAUCCAUGCUUUUCAAAUUGUAUUGUGCAUAUAAUCAUUGGCGACCUUGCCUCAGUGCAGAUUCUGAUUCAGUAGGUCUGGGGAGGGGCAGAUUCGGCAUUUCUGCAAGUUCCCAAGUCGUUCCUGUUGGUCCGUGGACCACACACUUUGAGUAACAAGGAUUAGAGAAAAACUGACUUGAGCUGACCUUGUCCUUAAAGAACCCCUAGAGCUGUGAUGGGGAUCAAGUUAGGAGACUACCAAACAAGCAUCGUCUAGACAUUAAUUUUUUAUAAAAGGAUUUGCCUUGCAUUCAACCAAUUGAGUGCUUCUGUGCAUUGAGCUAGACCCUCAUUUGUGGAUCAGAAGACUUCCCUCCUCCCAUCCUUCUUUCCUAUCUCUCUUUUUCUCUCUCUUUUGAUUUCUCUUUUCCCUUUGAUUACGAUUGUAUUAAACUUUUUGCAGGUACAAAUAACAGAAACUGACUCUCACUUCGUAGAGUCAAAAGACAAAUUGGUUGGCAGACUAUGUGGGCUCACAGAAUUCCCAGAAAGUCUAGGGGACCAUGGAAUAGAGGCUAGAAGCAAAACAGCUCCAGAGGGUCAAGAAGCCAGAACCCCAACUCCAAAUGUUUCUCAAGAGAUGUGGCUCUUUCACUGUCCCCUCAUGUCCACUCCAGCCAAAGAUACCCCUCUGCUCCCCACAAUAGCUGCUACUACAAAGGAAUUUUAAUGACCAUUCACUUUUCACCAUCCCUUCAGGAGUCCAAUCAAGGGCAAGAGUAAUCAGUUGGCUGCUCUCGGGCUAAAUUCUAGGAGUGGCUGCCAGGGGACCAGGAAGAAGCAGGGCACUGCACCUUGCAGGCUGCUCCAGUGCACAGUUCCCUAAUAGAGGACUGAUGCUGGACAAUCCGACCUACAAAUAUCCACCACAGCUCUUCAGGGUUAGUCUCCUUUAGUCUUCCUUCUGGAACAGAGAAAAUACCUGAGCUGCUGUACAAUUACUGAAAACCUCAAGGAAAAAAGUGGAAAGCACAGCCUGUGAACCUGAAAGUCUAAUAACGACAACCUAAAGAGCACCAAGCUUUUCAUCCUGCUCAGCCACAGGAAAAAGGGAGGAAGGAAAAAACAAGAAUUUUACCCUAAUUGUAGAAUCUGCUGAUGAAAAUUCUGAAGCACUUGCUGAUGACUAAAUUAUUCUGUAAACCAAACAUGACUCUCUGUAGCUCACCAGGAGCUGAGAGGCUUAGACAAUGCCUUUCCUUCCUGCUUCUCUCCCUCUCUCCCUCUCUCCCUCCCUCCUUCCCUCCUACCUCCCUCCUUCUUCCCUCCCAUCCUUUCGUGCUUUCAUUAAUUUAUGCAUACAUGUACAUAACAAACUUUUACUGAGUACUUUCUAUGUUUCAGGUGCUGUGCUAGGCUCAGAGGAAACAAAGAUGAACAAAAAAGAAUUCCUCAGAAGGAGCUCCAUGCAAUGAGAAUGUGGGGAUAUGAAAAGUAAAUGGGAUCUGCAACUACUGCUUCUACAGUGUAGCUUUGGGUUGCUGCCUUCCACCAACUUCUCCAUACUCAGAAGAUGCAAGAUUUGUUUCCAUUGCUGAGUAGUCUCAUUCAUCAAUUAUCUAGUAGUGCAUAAGCACCUAUGUGUUGGUAGCAGUUUGUUGGGGCUCUGAGGGACAUUGAGAUCUCCAAGGCAUUUUCUCUAUCCAGAAGGCAUUUGCAAUCCAGCUAGAGUAAAACAUGGGAACAGACAUGUGAUUUAAUAACAAUGGACAGAGCCAGAUGCCUCGGGUGCACAGUCGGGGCUGCAGAAGACUGACUAGCACAGGGGAUGAAGUGUGAGCUUUCAGCAGGCACCCUGGCUCUGCUGUGCUGGAGGCUGGCCCUUCCUAAGUCCUCACUCACCUCACUGGGAAGUCAAUGGGCCUAUAGAGACAGUAUACGGGGCUUGAUCCUGGAACCAGCUCAUCUCUAUGGGAACUUGGACAAGUUUAUCUCUGAGCCUUAGUUUUCUUAUCAGCCUUACUCAGUGGUCCUGGGGCCAGGCUUAAUCCUUCCCUCACCACAGUGGAGCCCUGGGCUGGCUUGUUGCGUCUCUCCUACGCUGCCCAACUUGACUAGCCUGCCCUGGCCCAUGCACACCUGCUGAUGGCUCCCGUCUACCUGCCAGGAAUUCCAGCUGCUCCCUGGCUACGAUCAAGACUCAGGCUCAAUCUACUUCUCUGAUUUGGGAAGUACAGGCAGGCAAGUUACUGGCAGAUGUAGUGACGGGGUGUGGAUGCUUCUGCACUCUGCAUCUUUCACAUAACGGAUAAUGGCAUUUAUGAAAGCCUUGCUAUGUGCCAGGUUCUGUCCACCGUUACUCAGUAUCCCUCAACCUGCCUGACAUUCUCACCUCUCCAUCAUCAGCCCCAGCUACAGAAAUGUGGUUAAGUUCCUGUUUCUUUGGCAUCACCUCAUGUGAAAACAGCUGGAUGAAGUUUCACCCAGUUUGGAGGGUAUUUGAGGAUGAUCUUACUUCAAAUGAGCUAUAUGACAUGAAAUUUUCACCAUGGGAAGCCUCAGCAUGAGAACAAUACUGAACUCACCUGCUGGAGAUGGGACACUGUGGAACAGAGCUGAGUCAUCCCAGCUGAGGCCAUCCUAGAUCAGCCAUUUCCAGCAGACUUUCCAGCUGGUGGCAGACACAUGAGCAAGCCCAGCUGACAUGGGAGCCCAUUUCAGAUCAGCCUAGAUGUUCAGCUAACCCUGAAAUUUUUGAGAAACAAUAAACGGUUGUGAUUUUAA
Canis lupus familiaris (dog) is the source of this 5148-nucleotide RNA transcript. It is a transcript of the gene named phosphoglucomutase 1, with no coding region annotated. The record is from RefSeq and is a predicted model, not a curated record. The transcript has 17 exons. NCBI's taxonomy places the organism in Eukaryota, Metazoa, Chordata, Mammalia, Carnivora, Canidae.